GAUGAAGAACGUAGCGAAAUGCGAUACUUGGUGUGAAUUGCAGAAUCCCGUGAACCAUCGAGUCUUUGAACGCAAGUUGCGCCCGAAGCCAUUAGGCCGAGGGCACGCCUGCCUGGGUGUCGCACAUCGUUGCCCCAAUGCCUCAGCCCUGUUGCAAGGCAUGGCAAAGGGGCGAAUGUUGGCUUCCCGCGAGCGAUGCCCUCACGGUUGGCUGAAAAUCGAGUCCGUGGUGGAGUGUGCCGCGAUGGAUGGUGGUUGAGUAAAAGCUCGAGACCGAUCAUGGGUAACUCCACCAGAAUUGGGCUCGGUGACCCACAUGCGUCCCUUGGAUGCCCCCUAAGGAGACCUCAGGUCAGGCGGGGCUACCCGCUGAGUUUAAGCAUAUCAAUAAGCGGAGGA
Molecule: unclassified non-coding RNA, 399 nt
Filed under: soil metagenome
Description: partial contains 5.8S ribosomal RNA, internal transcribed spacer 2, and large subunit ribosomal RNA
Rfam family: 5.8S ribosomal RNA (bases 1-122)
Source: RNAcentral